GGUCCAAUUUCGCAUUCGCGGCCGCAAUCACAGACGAAGCUUCGUGGUGGUCUCAAGUCAGGAGACAGACGACGAAGCUUCGUGUUGGUCUCGAGUCAGGAGACAGACGACGAACGCAACCAUAGCAGCAACAGCAGCAGGAGCCCUUGUCCUCAACAGAAGACGAACCAGCUUUGAAGAAAUUUACGGUAGGGAGAUCACGUAGCAAGAAAUUUCGCAAUUAUAUGUCUACCUGUCUCCAGCCGUCGCAUGCAAGUUUGAUUCACAAGCGUUAUGAGCCCCAUUUUUUGAAAAAGUCAGUCACUUUCCAGUGUCCUAAGAUUGACCAUUCCAUGGCUCGAAGAAUGAAAGAGAGGAAAGGACCUUAACUCAACAAGGUGGAGCAAAAGUAUAAGUCUUUCACCUCCAUUCAAUACAAAUUAUUGGACGUCGCUCGCCCACUACUCUUCAUCUCAGAGUCCAUGUCAGCUGACCAGGCCAAUGUAAGCUCAGAAAUCUUGGAUGCAUGCAGCGACACGUUACGCCUGCUAGGUCACACGUCAAAGGCUAGCGAAAUAGCCUUACGGCUAAACGAUGAGAGAACAUCCCAAGUUCACCGACCUAAGAUUCGAGUCUCUCCUAAAAGAUCCCGAAUUAUUAUUACCAGACUUUUAGAAAAUUGCACCUUUCGCAACAUUGCCAAUUUUUUAUUUUCUCAUCAGAUCAUAUCAGAUAUCAGUUAAAAACGAAAAACUUCGAUUUUUUCUGCUUGCUCUGUCUGUUGGCCUCAGCCAAAAAUAAACGCAAUCACGACGUCGACACUCCACACUUCUCAGUAGCGCUCGGCCCUGCACCAAUCGGAGAACUUUUUAGUCGAUUCAGUGCGCAAUUUUCAAAAAGUCAGAUUUUUCGAAAAUUAAUAAAAAAAUUCCGUUCGAGAGAAUCGAGUUUGCCAAUCUCGAUUCUUUUUGUCCUUGAAAAUCGGAAAAGAAAUAACGGUUCAAUUCAUUCACUUUUUUUUAUUUAUUAUAUUUACUAAAAAUAAAAAAAGUUAAAAUAGAAAA
Molecule: long non-coding RNA, 1043 nt
Organism: Daphnia magna
Lineage: Eukaryota; Metazoa; Arthropoda; Branchiopoda; Diplostraca; Daphniidae
Exons: 2
Source: RefSeq, a predicted model, not a curated record